GUUUAUAACCCAAGGAGAGAAGCGACUGAGAUAGUUUUGAGUACCAUUGUCUACUGGCUGGCUUUAAACCAUAUAGAGACUUUGUAAGUGACAUACUUGAUUAGGUUUAGUUGUAGAAAAGCCUGGAAGUAAUUCCAUGUAGACUUCCUCAUGCAAAUCUCCAUGGAGAAAUGCAUUAUUAACAUCUAGCUGCUGCAAGUGCCAAUUAGAAGCUGCUGCA
This 220-nucleotide unclassified non-coding RNA is filed under the name Hevea brasiliensis (rubber tree). Lineage: Eukaryota; Viridiplantae; Streptophyta; Magnoliopsida; Malpighiales; Euphorbiaceae. The record is from RNAcentral.